RNAcentral lists this ribosomal RNA (253 nucleotides) under uncultured prokaryote. Its description in RNAcentral is "partial 16S ribosomal RNA". It matches the Rfam family "Bacterial small subunit ribosomal RNA", at positions 525 to 777 of the family's 1533-position model. The record is from RNAcentral.
ACAGAGGGGGCAAGCGUUAUUCGGAAUUAUUGGGCUUAAAGGGCGCGUAGGCGGCCUGGCAAGUGGAAGGUGAAAUCCCUCGGCUUAACCGAGGAACUGCCUCCCAAACUGCUUGGCUUGAGACCAGGAGAGGUGAGUGGAACUCCCAGUGUAGCGGUGAAAUGCGUAGAUAUUGGGAGGAACACCAGUGGCGAAGGCGGCCUUCUGGACGGUGACUGACGCUGAGACGCGAAAGCGUGGGGAGCAAACAGGA